UAAGGUGCUCUUUGACCAGUCUGGGU
RNAcentral lists this non-coding RNA (26 nucleotides) under Rattus norvegicus (Norway rat). Lineage: Eukaryota; Metazoa; Chordata; Mammalia; Rodentia; Muridae. The record is from RNAcentral.